Molecule: long non-coding RNA, 77 nt
Organism: Sinocyclocheilus grahami
Lineage: Eukaryota; Metazoa; Chordata; Actinopteri; Cypriniformes; Cyprinidae
Exons: 3
Source: RefSeq, a predicted model, not a curated record
CAGUAAGUCUGUCUUAUGUGCGCCGUUGCGUUCGUUACUAUAGCAAAAGUAGAUCAAACAAAUCAAACAAUCAUUGU